AGCAGCCGCGGUAAUUCCAGCUCCAAUAGCGUAUAUUAAAGUUGUUGCAGUUAAAAAGCUCGUAGUUGAAUUUCGGGGUCAGUAGGUUGGUCAUGCCACAGGUAUGUACUGAUCUUACUGAUUCCUCCUUCCUGAUGAACCGUAAUGCCAUUAAUUUGGUGUUGCGGGGAAACUGGACUGUUACUUUGAAAAAAUUAGAGUGUUUAAAGCAGGCUAACGCUUGAAUACAUUAGCAUGGAAUAAUGAAAUAGGACGUUCGAUCCUAUUUUGUUGGUUUCUAGGAUUGACGUAAUGAUUAAUAGGGAUAGUUGGGGGCAUUAGUAUUCAAUUGUCAGAGGUGAAAUUCUUGGAUUUAUUGAAGACUAACUACUGCGAAAGCAUUUGCCAAGGAUGUUUUCAUUAAUCAAGAACGAAAGUUAGGGGAUCGAAGACGAUCAGAUACCGUCGUAGCCUUAACCAUAAACUAUGCCGACUAGGGAUCGGAUGAUGUUAAUUUUUUAAUGACUCAUUCGGCGCCUUACG
RNAcentral lists this ribosomal RNA (522 nucleotides) under uncultured Glomus. Its description in RNAcentral is "SSU rRNA". It matches the Rfam family "Eukaryotic small subunit ribosomal RNA", at positions 569 to 1092 of the family's 1831-position model. Lineage: Eukaryota; Fungi; Glomeromycota; Glomeromycetes; Glomerales; Glomeraceae. The record is from RNAcentral.